Molecule: ribosomal RNA, 518 nt
Filed under: uncultured archaeon
Lineage: Archaea
Description: bacterial SSU rRNA
Rfam family: Archaeal small subunit ribosomal RNA
Source: RNAcentral
ACGGGGUGCAGCAGGCGCGAAACCUCUACAAUGCGCGAAAGCAUGAUAGGGGGACUCCAAGUGACAUCAUUCGAUGUCUUUUCUCUACUUUAAAAUCGUAGGGGAAUAAGAGCUGGGUAAGACCCGUGCCAGCCGCCGCGGUAAUACGGGCAGCUCUAGUGGCAUUCACGAAUAUUGGGCCUAAAGCGUACGUAGCCGGUCCUACAAGUUCCUUGUGAAAUCCUAUGGCUUAACCAUGGGAAGUGCAAGGAAAACUGUGGGACUUGGAGCCGGGAAGGGUCGGAGGUAUUCCUUGGGUAGGGGUGAAAUCCAGUGAUCCUUGGAAGACCAACGGUGGCGAAGGCGUCCGACUAGAACGGGCUCGACGGUGAGGUACGAAAGCUAGGGGAGCGACCCGGAUUAGAUACCCGGUUAGUCCUAGCCGUAAAUGAUGCAGGUUUGGUGUAACAAUCCUUACGUGGGAUUGUUGUGCCGUAGGGAAGCCGUUAAACCUGCCGCCUGGGAGUACGUCGCAAGAC